UUACGGGAGGCAGCAGUGGGGAAUCUUGCGCAAUGGGCGAAAGCCUGACGCAGCAACGCCGCGUGUGUGAUGAAGGUCUUCGGAUCGUAAAGCACUGUCGCGAGGGACGAAUAAGGGGCGGGCUAACAUCCCGUUCCGAUGACGGUACCUCGAGAGGAAGCACCGGCUAACUCUGUGCCAGCAGCCGCGGUAAUACAGAGGGUGCAAGCGUUGUUCGGAAUUAUUGGGCGUAAAGCGCGUGUAGGCGGCUUUGUAAGUUGGGUGUGAAAGCCCUCGGCUUAACCGAGGAAGUGCGCCCAAAACUGCAUGGCUUGAGUACCGGAGAGGGUGGCGGAAUUCCCGGUGUAGAGGUGAAAUUCGUAGAUAUCGGGAGGAACACCAGCGGCGAAGGCGGCCACCUGGACGGAUACUGACGCUGAGACGCGAAAGCGUGGGGAGCAAACAGGAUUAGAUACCCCGGUAGU
Molecule: ribosomal RNA, 464 nt
Filed under: uncultured bacterium
Lineage: Bacteria
Description: bacterial SSU rRNA
Rfam family: Bacterial small subunit ribosomal RNA
Source: RNAcentral